GGUGGCGUGGCCGAGUGGUUAGGCAGUGGACUGCAAAUCCACGUACAUCGGUUCAACUCCGGUCGCCACCU
RNAcentral lists this transfer RNA (71 nucleotides) under Bdellovibrionales bacterium. RNAcentral describes it as "tRNA-Cys". It matches the Rfam family "tRNA". From Rfam's summary of the family: Transfer RNA (tRNA) molecules are approximately 80 nucleotides in length. Their secondary structure includes four short double-helical elements and three loops (D, anti-codon, and T loops). Further hydrogen bonds mediate the characteristic L-shaped molecular structure. tRNAs have two regions of fundamental functional importance: the anti-codon, which is responsible for specific mRNA codon recognition, and the 3' end, to which the tRNAs corresponding amino acid is attached (by aminoacyl-tRNA synthetases). tRNAs cope with the degeneracy of the genetic code in two manners: having more than one tRNA (with a specific anti-codon) for a particular amino acid; and 'wobble' base-pairing, i.e. permitting non-standard base-pairing at the 3rd anti-codon position. The record is from RNAcentral. Lineage: Bacteria; Pseudomonadati; Bdellovibrionota; Bdellovibrionia; Bdellovibrionales.